UCCACCAUUCAAGCUCUUAUGUAGCACACUACUUAAUUUUGAAUAUAAAUACACAAUAAAAAUCUCUUUUGUUCAAAUCUAUUCGACAAGUCUUUUGAUUCAUCAACUAAUGUUAUUAUCUUUUUCUCACUAGGUCGCUAGUUUGUAUCAAUUGUAAUUUUUGUUUCAAAAUUAAUACUCUAAAAUUAUAAUAUACACUAUGUUUUAUUUGUCCACUUAUCAAAUCUUUAUGUUGAUGUGAUGCUAUUCUUCUUGGUAAUCUCUC
Molecule: long non-coding RNA, 265 nt
Filed under: Physcomitrium patens
Lineage: Eukaryota; Viridiplantae; Streptophyta; Bryopsida; Funariales; Funariaceae
Description: long non-coding RNA (PPAT_LNC006017)
Source: RNAcentral